GAUGAACGCUGGCGGCGUGCCUAAUACAUGCAAGUAGAACGCUGAAGGAGGAGCUUGCUCUUCUGGAUGAGUUGCGAACGGGUGAGUAACGCGUAGGUAACCUGCCUGGUAGCGGGGGAUAACUAUUGGAAACGAUAGCUAAUACCGCAUGACAACAGUUAUUGCAUGAUAACUGUUUAAAAGGGGCAACUGCUCCACUACCAGAUGGACCUGCGUUGUAUUAGCUAGUUGGUGAGGUAACGGCUCACCAAGGCGACGAUACAUAGCCGACCUGAGAGGGUGAUCGGCCACACUGGGACUGAGACACGGCCCAGACUCCUACGGGAGGCAGCAGUAGGGAAUCGUCGGCAAGAGACGGAAGUCUGACCGAGCAACGCCGCGUGAGUGAAGAAGGUUUUCGGAUCGUAAAGCUCGGUUGUAAGAGAAGAACGAGUGUGAGAGUGGAAAGUUCACACUGUGACGGUAUCUUACCAGAAAGGGACGGCUAACUACGUG
This 495-nucleotide ribosomal RNA is filed under the name uncultured bacterium. RNAcentral describes it as "partial 16S ribosomal RNA". It matches the Rfam family "Bacterial small subunit ribosomal RNA", at positions 28 to 507 of the family's 1533-position model. The record is from RNAcentral.